RNAcentral lists this transfer RNA (76 nucleotides) under Caudoviricetes sp. RNAcentral's name for it is "tRNA-Phe". It matches the Rfam family "tRNA". Rfam says of the family: Transfer RNA (tRNA) molecules are approximately 80 nucleotides in length. Their secondary structure includes four short double-helical elements and three loops (D, anti-codon, and T loops). Further hydrogen bonds mediate the characteristic L-shaped molecular structure. tRNAs have two regions of fundamental functional importance: the anti-codon, which is responsible for specific mRNA codon recognition, and the 3' end, to which the tRNAs corresponding amino acid is attached (by aminoacyl-tRNA synthetases). tRNAs cope with the degeneracy of the genetic code in two manners: having more than one tRNA (with a specific anti-codon) for a particular amino acid; and 'wobble' base-pairing, i.e. permitting non-standard base-pairing at the 3rd anti-codon position. Lineage: Duplodnaviria; Heunggongvirae; Uroviricota; Caudoviricetes. The record is from RNAcentral.
UGACUGGUAGCUCAGCUAGUAAAGCACGUGCCUGAAGAGUACGAUGUUGGUGGUGCAAAUCCAUCUCAGUCCACCA